Molecule: ribosomal RNA, 158 nt
Filed under: Oryza longistaminata (longstamen rice)
Lineage: Eukaryota; Viridiplantae; Streptophyta; Magnoliopsida; Poales; Poaceae
Description: rRNA SSU_rRNA_eukarya
Source: RNAcentral
CACUGCAACACACGGGGUAUCCACUAGUUCGGUGAAGUGUUCGGAUCGCGGCGACAGCGGCGGUUCGCCGCCCCCGACGUUGCGAAAAGUCCAUUGAACCUUAUCAUUUAGAGGAAGGAGAGGUCAUAACAAGGUUUCCGUAGGUGAACCAGCGGAAG